This 2494-nucleotide long non-coding RNA is filed under the name Homo sapiens (human). RNAcentral describes it as "HSALNT0360857". Lineage: Eukaryota; Metazoa; Chordata; Mammalia; Primates; Hominidae. The record is from RNAcentral.
AUUCUUUACAGCUGCAAAUUUCCCCCUACAAAGAACAGCUUUGCCGGGGCCAUUUCAAAAUAUGGCAAAGAAACUUGUUUUGGGGCAAAAUAUUUUUAUUUUCUUCCUCAUAUCGUAAUGUUCUGCCAGGGCCAGGUUGGAAAGUAAGUCAUGAUAUACGUGGUUAAAUAAAACCCAUCUGAUGAGAAUUUAUGGUUUGUAGGGCAUGACUCCCCAAGCCCCUUAGGUAGGAAUUUGGGCAAGAUAAAAAAUCAGAGUUUAGUCCUCAAUCAUGAUGAGCUGCUGAGUUUCACACAAGGCCUGUUGUCAUUUAAACUAUAGCCUAAAUGUCUCUCAAAGUCAGCUUGGCCCCAAAAACCAGGAAUAAUUAAAGGAAAGGCAAGAUUGUGGGUGGGCUAGCUCAGCUCACAGUUAUAAUAAUUCUUCUCACUGAUACUGUUACAGCAGGUAGCUCCUCCGGCUUGAGCAGGACAGGAGAGCGCUUCCCACCCACAACCAGGAAUGUCAGGCGACCCCUCAGGUGAUGGUCAGGUGGUUGUUGCACUGUUUCUCUAAAAUAAUAAUUGGUAGCAACCAGCGCCAAGGAAAGGCAGUCUCCCAGUAGAUAGAAAAAAACCUGAAACGUGGUCAGGUUUAUCCACAAUCUUGCUCAUGUGGUCCUGUGGCCCCCACCGAGGAGCUGGGUUAGGGUUGGGAAGACAGCUUCGACUCCCCAAGACUUCAUCUCCAACCGGACCGGUCAGCGCUCCUGACUCACUGGCCGCCUACCCACCAUAUCAUCCUUCGAAACUCGGAUCCCCACGUUUUUGGGGAGAAGGAUUUGAGUAAUAAUAAAACUCCCGUCUCCCCCGCAGCCGGCUCUGCGUGAAUUACACUUUCCUUAUUGCGAUUCCCCUGCCCCGAUGCGACCAAGGGGCCCGCCCAGGAGCGCAGAGAAACCAUUAAGGGGUCACAGGACCGGGCUCCCAGGGUGACUCCCUGGCCACCAAGUCCUCCAGCAGGUCACUCCUGGAUUCCGGCUGGACCCCCUGCCCAGGGAGGGGCCCAGGAGACGCGGAAAUCGGGUCCCCCGCGGGUGAAGGGGAGGUGGGAGCCCCAGAGGAGGGCGGGAAGGCUCGGCCGGGGACGUGCCCGAGGGGGAGGAGAGGGGCUCCCGUCCGGGUCCGGCGCUGCGGGUCUCAGGGUCCGCGUCCCGCCCACCCCGCGGGGGUCUGGGCUGCGGGCGGAGCCUCCUCCGGGACCUGCACCUGCGCCGGCCGCCGCCAGGGGCGCCGCUGAGCACCCGCCUCCGCCGCUUCCCCCUCCCCGCCGGGCGGGGCCGCGCGCCUCCCACCCGGGACCCACUUCGGAGUUCGCCCCCUUCGGGACUCGCCUCCGGGAGACCCCCGAGGGGGAGAGGGCGCUUCCUCCGCGUCCAUCGCCCUUGCCGCCCCUGGGAGAGCUCUUGUCAGAGCUAUUAGCUCUGCUUUCUAAGCAGAAGUUUCUGCAGACAGAGACGGUACCUCUACUGCUGAGUCCAAAGUCACCGCGGCAUACCCAGCUCGGCAGACUCCCCUUAGUACGAAACUGCUUCCAUCAGUAAAAUAUUCAAUGUCCAGGUCCCCGAGGGGCCAAUCUGUUAAAUCUUUCCAGCUUGAGAACACUUUAUCUACCACGUCCACACAGCAAUGAAGGGGACUUCCUGUGUAGGGUCCAGCCCUACGGGGGCUUAGCGGGUGUUCUCCCCGUGUGCAGAGACAAGAGAUCGUAAGAAAUAAAGACACAAGACAAACAGAUAAAGAGAAAACAGCUGGGCCCAGGGGACCACUACCACCAAGACAUGGAGACCGCUAGUGGCUCCGAACGGCUGGCUGCGCUGAUAUUUAUUGAAUACAAGACAAGGGGGCAGGGUACGGACGGUGAGUCGUCCAAGUAAUUGAUAAGGUGAAGCAAGUCACGUGAUCAUAGGACAGGGGGCCUUUCCCUCUUAGGUAGCCGAGCAGAGAGAGAAGGCAGCAUACGUCAGCGUUUUCUUCUAUGCACUUAUAAGAACAAUCAAAGACUUUAAGACUUUCACUAUUUCUUCUACCGCUAUCUACUACGAACUUCAAAGAGGAACCAGGAGUACGGGAAGAGCAUGAAAGUGGACAAGGAGUGUGAUCAUUCAAGCACCACAGGGAGGGGGUUAGGCCUCCGGAUGACUGCAGGCCAGGCCUGGAGAAUAUCCAGCCUCCCACAAGAAGCUGGCGGAGCAGAGUGUUCCCUGACUCCUCCAAGGAAAGGAGACUCCCUUUCACGGUCGGCUAAGUAACGGGUGCCUUCCCAGGCACUGGCGUUACCGCUUGACCAAGGAGCCCUCAAGCGGCCCUUAUGUUGGCGUGACAGAGGGCUCACCUCUUGCCUUCUAGGUCACUUCUCACAACGUCCCUUCAGCACCUGACCCUAUACCCGCCGGUUAUUCCCAGGUUAUAUAGUAAUGGAACAAAGAGUAAUAUUAAAAGCUAAUGAUUAAUAA